GCGUGUCGACGAAGAUCGUCCCGUGCCGUCGACCGGAGGCGGUGCCGUACUCCUCGUGACCAUUGACCAGCAGCGGUUGGGCCGGAGCCAUAAGGCAGCAGUGGAAGGUGAGUCGGUGUGAGCCCGUCUUGCAUUGACAGCUUAUAGCCCUGUCUGUACGGUGCUCCGGCGUGACCGAGGAAGCCGGGCAGCCCUUGCCCAUUGUGGUGCACGCCGAAUGGCGGGGCCUCCCGACAGGAGCAAACCGUGCGGUGUGGACUGCAUGCAGUGCUCACUGUUGCGGUGAACUCGUGCCGGAGAGUGCCACUGGUGUGCCAGUGCUGCUGGUGUUCAGAU
RNAcentral lists this unclassified non-coding RNA (336 nucleotides) under Hyrtios erectus. RNAcentral describes it as "sequence contains 28S rRNA gene". Lineage: Eukaryota; Metazoa; Porifera; Demospongiae; Dictyoceratida; Thorectidae. The record is from RNAcentral.